GUAAUGCCUAGGAAUCUGCCUGGUAGUGGGGGAUAACGUUCGGAAACGGACGCUAAUACCGCAUACGUCCUACGGGAGAAAGCAGGGGACCUUCGGGCCUUGCGCUAUCAGAUGAGCCUAGGUCGGAUUAGCUAGUUGGUGGGGUAAUGGCUCACCAAGGCGACGAUCCGUAACUGGUCUGAGAGGAUGAUCAGUCACACUGGAACUGAGACACGGUCCAGACUCCUACGGGAGGCAGCAGUGGGGAAUAUUGGACAAUGGGCGAAAGCCUGAUCCAGCCAUGCCGCGUGUGUGAAGAAGGUCUUCGGAUUGUAAAGCACUUUAAGUUGGGAGGAAGGGCAGUAAAUUAAUACUUUGCUGUUUUGACGUUACCGACAGAAUAAGCACCGGCUAACUCUGUGCCAGCAGCCGCGGUAAUACAGAGGGUGCAAGCGUUAAUCGGAAUUACUGGGCGUAAAGCGCGCGUAGGU
This 470-nucleotide ribosomal RNA is filed under the name Pseudomonas sp. RNAcentral's name for it is "bacterial SSU rRNA". It matches the Rfam family "Bacterial small subunit ribosomal RNA", at positions 110 to 576 of the family's 1533-position model. Lineage: Bacteria; Pseudomonadati; Pseudomonadota; Gammaproteobacteria; Pseudomonadales; Pseudomonadaceae. The record is from RNAcentral.